UGCGGGGUGGAGCAGCUGGCAGCUCGCGAGGCUCAUAACCUCGAGGUCGCAGGUUCGAAUCCUGUCCCCGCUA
RNAcentral lists this transfer RNA (73 nucleotides) under Phycisphaerae bacterium. RNAcentral describes it as "tRNA-Met". It matches the Rfam family "tRNA". Rfam says of the family: Transfer RNA (tRNA) molecules are approximately 80 nucleotides in length. Their secondary structure includes four short double-helical elements and three loops (D, anti-codon, and T loops). Lineage: Bacteria; Pseudomonadati; Planctomycetota; Phycisphaerae. The record is from RNAcentral. RNAcentral also lists the same sequence under 1 other name.